UCAACCGAGAUUCCCCCAGUAGCGGCGAGCGAACGGGGAGGAGCCCAGAGCCUGAAUCAGCAUGUGUGUUAGUGGAAGCGUCUGGAAAGGCGCGCGAUACAGGGUGAGAGCCCCGUACACAAAAGCGCACAUGCUGUGAGCUCGAUGAGUAGGGCGGGACACGUGGUAUCCUGUCUGAAUAUGGGGGGACCAUCCUCCAAGGCUAAAUACUCCUGACUGACCGAUAGUGAACCAGUACCGUGAGGGAAAGGCGAAAAGAACCCCGGCGAGGGGAGUGAAACAGAACCUGAAACCGUGUACGUACAAGCAGUGGGAGCCUCUCUUUAUGGGGGGUGACUGCGUACCUUUUGUAUAAUGGGUCAGCGACUUAUAUUCUGUAGCAAGGUUAACCGCAUAGGGGAGCCGAAGGGAAACCGAGUCUUAAUUGGGCGUUAAGUUGCAGGGUAUAGACCCGAAACCCGGUGAUCUAGCCAUGGGCAGGUUGAAGGUUGGGUAACACUAACUGGAGGACCGAACCGACUAAUGUUGAAAAAUUAGCGGAUGACCUGUGGCUGGGGGUGAAAGGCCAAUCAAACCGGGAGAUAGCUGGUUCUCCCCGAAAGCUAUUUAGGUAGCGCCUCGUGAACUCAUCUCCGGGGGUAGAGCACUGUUUCGGCUAGGGGGCCAUCCCGGCUUACCAACCCGAUGCAAACUGCGAAUACCGGAGAAUGUUAUCACGGGAGACACACGGCGGGUGCUAACGUCCGUCGUGAAGAGGGAAACAACCCAGACCGCCAGCUAAGGUCCCAAAGUCAUGGUUAAGUGGGAAACGAUGUGGGAAGGCCCAGACAGCCAGGAUGUUGGCUUAGAAGCAGCCAUCAUUUAAAGAAAGCGUAAUAGCUCACUGGUCGAGUCGGCCUGCGCGGAAGAUGUAACGGGGCUAAACCAUGCACCGAAGCUGCGGCAGCGACACUUUAGUGUUGUUGGGUAGGGGAGCGUUCUGUAAGCCGUUGAAGGUGUCCUGUGAGGGGUGCUGGAGGUAUCAGAAGUGCGAAUGCUGACAUAAGUAACGAUAAAGCGGGUGAAAAGCCCGCUCGCCGGAAGACCAAGGGUUCCUGUCCAACGUUAAUCGGGGCAGGGUGAGUCGACCCCUAAGGCGAGGCCGAAAGGCGUAGUCGAUGGGAAACGGGUUAAUAUUCCCGUACUUGGUGUUACUGCGAAGGGGGGACGGAGAAGG
RNAcentral lists this ribosomal RNA (1216 nucleotides) under Salmonella enterica. RNAcentral describes it as "partial 23S ribosomal RNA". It matches the Rfam family "Bacterial large subunit ribosomal RNA", at positions 225 to 1481 of the family's 2925-position model. Lineage: Bacteria; Pseudomonadati; Pseudomonadota; Gammaproteobacteria; Enterobacterales; Enterobacteriaceae. The record is from RNAcentral.